AUUUAGGUUUCCUCCAAGAGUCAGUAAGCCCAUUCGCCCUAAUGGAUUCAGGAAGUGUGCGCCUGGCUCAAGAUGCAGGAAAUAUUGGCCCAAAAACACUGCAUGUUGACAACCCUGCAUCAUGUUGGCAGCUGAGAGGCAACAGCUGGAAAUUGAACUUCAGAAUUAAGAAAUCAUGCAAGGACACGAGGAGUAGAUGACCACCUGAAUUCACCGUGAAGCACUCAAAGGCCUACAUUGGACUGUGAGAUACUGAGGGCUACACCAGGUUACACCAGUUGUAUACAUCAAAUUGUGGCAAAGAUGGUCACAUUUCAUCGCCAGAUUUGGGUAAGCCUUUGGAACGGGACAGCCUUGUCAAACUGAUGUGACGUUUGCAAGCUUGUAAUGUAGACUUCAAAGGAUAACAACACACCAGUCGACACAGCACGGAGAGCAUAACUGAUUG
Long non-coding RNA from Thunnus maccoyii (southern bluefin tuna), 448 nucleotides. RefSeq lists it as uncharacterized. The record is from RefSeq and is a predicted model, not a curated record. The transcript has 3 exons. Lineage: Eukaryota; Metazoa; Chordata; Actinopteri; Scombriformes; Scombridae.